AUUGAACGCUGGCGGCAUGCUUUACGCAUGCAAGUCGAACGGUAACAGGCCGCAAGGUGCUGACGAGUGGCGAACGGGUGAGUAAUGCAUCGGAACGUGCCCAGUCGUGGGGGAUAACUACUCGAAAGAGUAGCUAAUACCGCAUACGAUCUAUGGAUGAAAGCGGGGGACCGUAAGGCCUCGCGCGAUUGGAGCGGCCGAUGUCAGAUUAGGUAGUUGGUGGGGUAAAGGCUCACCAAGCCAACGAUCUGUAGCUGGUCUGAGAGGACGACCAGCCACACUGGGACUGAGACACGGCCCAGACUCCUACGGGAGGCAGCAGUGGGGAAUUUUGGACAAUGGGCGCAAGCCUGAUCCAGCAAUGCCACGUGCAGGAAGAAGGCCUUCGGGAUGUAAACUGCUUUUGUACGGAACGAAACGGCUCUGGUUAAUACCCGGGGCUAAUGACGGUACCGUAAGAAUAAGCACCGGCUAACUACGUG
Molecule: ribosomal RNA, 482 nt
Filed under: uncultured bacterium
Lineage: Bacteria
Description: partial 16S ribosomal RNA
Rfam family: Bacterial small subunit ribosomal RNA
Source: RNAcentral